AUCUCUCUUGGAGAUGGAAAUGAGGCCAAAUUCUGGGUGGACAACUGGCUACCGGGUGGGCACUCGAUCGCCACCACUGCGCCAGCCCUGUUUUCUUAUGUGAGGGACAAAGGCAGGUCUGUCAGAGAGGCACUGCAAAACAGCUCAUGGGUUCGGGAUAUACAUGGCGGACUCUCAUCACAGGCAUUGGCCCAAUAUCUUUCGGUCUGGGACAUCGCGUAGUCUACGGCACUAACCCCUGGCAUGAGGGAUACCCCAAGAUGGAGGAGGACGGACGAUGGUGUCUUCUCGGUUGGAUCGGCUUACAGGAUGUUUUUCUUGGCCAGUAUACGCUUUGCCUGUGCCAAGCCAAUCUGGAAAUCAAAAGCACCGCCCAGAUGCAAGUUCUUUAUGUGGUUAGCAGUACAUUAG
Molecule: ribosomal RNA, 411 nt
Filed under: Triticum aestivum (bread wheat)
Lineage: Eukaryota; Viridiplantae; Streptophyta; Magnoliopsida; Poales; Poaceae
Description: partial small subunit ribosomal RNA
Source: RNAcentral